Molecule: ribosomal RNA, 253 nt
Filed under: uncultured bacterium
Lineage: Bacteria
Description: partial 16S ribosomal RNA
Rfam family: Bacterial small subunit ribosomal RNA
Source: RNAcentral
UACGGAGGGUGCAAGCGUUGUCCGGAAUUAUUGGGCGUAAAGAGCUCGUAGGCGGUUUGUCGCGUCGAAUGUGAAAACCCGGGGCUCAACCCCGGGCCUGCAUUCGAUACGGGCAGACUAGAGUUCGGUAGGGGAGUCUGGAAUUCCUGGUGUAGCGGUGAAAUGCGCAGAUAUCAGGAGGAACACCGGUGGCGAAGGCGCUGCUCUGGGCCGAAACUGACGCUGAGGAGCGAAAGCGUGGGUAGCAAACAGG